RNAcentral lists this unclassified non-coding RNA (345 nucleotides) under soil metagenome. Its description in RNAcentral is "partial contains 5.8S ribosomal RNA, internal transcribed spacer 2, and large subunit ribosomal RNA". The stretch from base 1 to 119 matches the Rfam family "5.8S ribosomal RNA", at positions 35 to 154 of the family's 154-position model. The record is from RNAcentral.
GAUGAAGAACGUAGCGAAAUGCGAUACGUAAUGUGAAUUGCAAAUUCAGUGAAUCAUCGAGUCUUUGAACGCACAUUGCGCCCCCUGGUAUUCCGGGGGGCAUGCCUGUCCGAGCGUCAUUGCUGCCCUCAAGCACGGCUUGUGUGUUGGGCCCCGUCCUCCGACCCCGGGGGACGGGCCCGAAAGGCAGCGGCGGCACCGCGUCCGGUCCUCGAGCGUAUGGGGCUUUGUCACCCGCUCUGUAGGCCCGGCCGGCGCUUGCCGAUCAACCCAAAUUUUUAUCCAGGUUGACCUCGGAUCAGGUAGGGAUACCCGCUGAACUUAAGCAUAUCAAUAAGCGGAGGA